GAUGAACGCUGGCGGCGUGCUUAACACAUGCAAGUCGAACGAAGCAUUUAAGACAGAUCACUUCGGUUUGAAGUCUUUUAUGACUGAGUGGCGGACGGGUGAGUAACGCGUGGGUAACCUGCCUCAUACAGGGGGAUAGCAGCUGGAAACGGCUGGUAAUACCGCAUAAGCGCACAGUACCACAUGGUACAGUGUGAAAAACUCCGGUGGUAUGAGAUGGACCCGCGUCUGAUUAGCUUGUUGGCGGGGUAACGGCCCACCAAGGCGACGAUCAGUAGCCGACCUGAGAGGGUGACCGGCCACAUUGGGACUGAGACACGGCCCAGACUCCUACGGGAGGCAGCAGUGGGGAAUAUUGCACAAUGGAGGAAACUCUGAUGCAGCGACGCCGCGUGAGUGAAGAAGUAGUUCGCUAUGUAAAGCUCUAUCAGCAGGGAAGAUAGUGACGGUACCUGACUAAGAAGCUCCGGCUAAAUACGUG
RNAcentral lists this ribosomal RNA (481 nucleotides) under uncultured bacterium. Its description in RNAcentral is "partial 16S ribosomal RNA". It matches the Rfam family "Bacterial small subunit ribosomal RNA", at positions 28 to 507 of the family's 1533-position model. The record is from RNAcentral.